Molecule: long non-coding RNA, 687 nt
Organism: Mauremys reevesii (Reeves's turtle)
Lineage: Eukaryota; Metazoa; Chordata; Testudines; Geoemydidae
Exons: 4
Source: RefSeq, a predicted model, not a curated record
GGAGAACAGCUCUCUGGCACUUGCUCAGGGAGAGAAGCCUGGCAUGGAGGCAGGGAGCUGAGUAGGACUGCUGGCAGACAAAGCCGCCCUGAAGGAAGGUCUAGGAAACAGGUCAUAUCUCUGAUGUCUCCCUUCUCAUGGGCUCCUGCUGUUUGCGGCUGGCUAGAGGGGCUUUUACAGAGCAAGGACCUUUACGACGACGACCUGGAUUUUGAUAGAGAACAAUGAAUGGGCUAGAAGGAUUAACAAGGGGAAAGAAAUCCACCAAGAGUAUUGCUGAGAAUCUGAAUUGAGUGGUGCUACUGCAGAGUGGUUUACAAUGUCAUUUGAACCCCAUGAUUAAGCUGGCUCCAGAAGUAACUACAGAAGUUGGAUGCUGGAACAGAAAUCCUGGAUUGGCUGUCCAUGCUCCCAAUCUUUUGCAGACAUUUGGUUUGAUCCUAGCCCUCAUGGAAUAACCAAAGAAUCUCUCCAAUGUGAAGAAUUGCAUAAUGGCUGUAGCGCAUAGAGUUGUACAUCAUUCAACUCACUGCCUAGUCCUUGGAGUACACCAGGAAAGAGACUGGCCAAAAAGAACCUGGGGAUAUAAGUGUAAAAACCUUCUGUUUGUUUUUAAUCAUAUGCACACAUCACGUAACUCUUCCAGGCAUGCAUUGUAGAAGAAAGUAGUUUUGUCAUUCUUUUUUU